GGUUGUGUAGUGUAGAGGUUAUCACUGUGGAUUCUGAUAUGGCUGUUGCAGCUUGAACAUUCCACUAACCUCGGUUCGAAUCCGAGCACGACCA
This 94-nucleotide transfer RNA is filed under the name Eremothecium gossypii ATCC 10895. Its description in RNAcentral is "Ashbya gossypii ATCC 10895 tRNA". It matches the Rfam family "tRNA". Rfam says of the family: Transfer RNA (tRNA) molecules are approximately 80 nucleotides in length. Their secondary structure includes four short double-helical elements and three loops (D, anti-codon, and T loops). The record is from Rfam by way of RNAcentral. Lineage: Eukaryota; Fungi; Ascomycota; Saccharomycetes; Saccharomycetales; Saccharomycetaceae.